This 73-nucleotide transfer RNA is filed under the name Felis catus (domestic cat). It matches the Rfam family "tRNA". From Rfam's summary of the family: Transfer RNA (tRNA) molecules are approximately 80 nucleotides in length. Their secondary structure includes four short double-helical elements and three loops (D, anti-codon, and T loops). Further hydrogen bonds mediate the characteristic L-shaped molecular structure. tRNAs have two regions of fundamental functional importance: the anti-codon, which is responsible for specific mRNA codon recognition, and the 3' end, to which the tRNAs corresponding amino acid is attached (by aminoacyl-tRNA synthetases). tRNAs cope with the degeneracy of the genetic code in two manners: having more than one tRNA (with a specific anti-codon) for a particular amino acid; and 'wobble' base-pairing, i.e. permitting non-standard base-pairing at the 3rd anti-codon position. Lineage: Eukaryota; Metazoa; Chordata; Mammalia; Carnivora; Felidae. RNAcentral also lists the same sequence under 3 other names. The record is from Rfam by way of RNAcentral.
ACCUGGCUGACUCAGUUGGUGGAGCAUGUGACUCUUGAUCUCAGGGUGGUGAGUUCAAGCCCCAUGUUGGGUG